UACACUCCGCGGGAGGCAGCAGUGAGGAAUAUUGGACAAUGGGUGGAAGCCUGAUCCAGCCAUCCCGCGUGCAGGAAGACGGCCCUAUGGGUUGUAAACUGCUUUUAUCUGGGGAUAAACCUACUUACGUGUAAGUAGCUGAAGGUACCAGAAGAAUAAGCACCGGCUAACUCCGUGCCAGCAGCCGCGGUAAUACGGAGGGUGCAAGCGUUAUCCGGAUUUAUUGGGUUUAAAGGGUCCGUAGGCGGACUGAUAAGUCAGUGGUGAAAUCCGACAGCUUAACUGUCGAACUGCCAUUGAUACUGUUAGUCUUGAGUAAGGUUGAAGUGGCUGGAAUAAGUAGUGUAGCGGUGAAAUGCAUAGAUAUUACUUAGAACACCAAUUGCGAAGGCAGGUCACUAAGUCUUAACUGACGCUGAUGGACGAAAGCGUGGGGAGCGAACAGGAUUAGAAACCCCGGUAGUCCCA
Molecule: ribosomal RNA, 468 nt
Filed under: uncultured organism
Description: partial 16S ribosomal RNA
Rfam family: Bacterial small subunit ribosomal RNA
Source: RNAcentral